AGACGAACGCUGGCGGCGUGCCUAAUACAUGCAAGUCGAGCGGACAGAUGGGAGCUUGCUCCCUGAUGUUAGCGGCGGACGGGUGAGUAACACGUGGGUAACCUGCCUGUAAGACUGGGAUAACUCCGGGAAACCGGGGCUAAUACCGGAUGGUUGUCUGAACCGCAUGGUUCAGACAUAAAAGGUGGCUUCGGCUACCACUUACAGAUGGACCCGCGGCGCAUUAGCUAGUUGGUGAGGUAACGGCUCACCAAGGCGACGAUGCGUAGCCGACCUGAGAGGGUGAUCGGCCACACUGGGACUGAGACACGGCCCAGACUCCUACGGGAGGCAGCAGUAGGGAAUCUUCCGCAAUGGACGAAAGUCUGACGGAGCAACGCCGCGUGAGUGAUGAAGGUUUUCGGAUCGUAAAGCUCUGUUGUUAGGGAAGAACAAGUGCCGUUCAAAUAGGGCGGCACCUUGACGGUACCUAACCAGAAAGCCACGGCUAACUACGUGCCAGCAGCCGCGGUAAUACGUAGGUGGCAAGCGUUGUCCGGAAUUAUUGGGCGUAAAGGGCUCGCAGGCGGUUUCUUAAGUCUGAUGUGAAAGCCCCCGGCUCAACCGGGGAGGGUCAUUGGAAACUGGGGAACUUGAGUGCAGAAGAGGAGAGUGGAAUUCCACGUGUAGCGGUGAAAUGCGUAGAGAUGUGGAGGAACACCAGUGGCGAAGGCGACUCUCUGGUCUGUAACUGACGCUGAGGAGCGAAAGCGUGGGGAGCGAACAGGAUUAGAUACCCUGGUAGUCCACGCCGUAAACGAUGAGUGCUAAGUGUUAGGGGGUUUCCGCCCCUUAGUGCUGCAGCUAACGCAU
This 852-nucleotide ribosomal RNA is filed under the name Bacillus velezensis. Its description in RNAcentral is "bacterial SSU rRNA". It matches the Rfam family "Bacterial small subunit ribosomal RNA", at positions 26 to 860 of the family's 1533-position model. Lineage: Bacteria; Bacillati; Bacillota; Bacilli; Caryophanales; Bacillaceae. The record is from RNAcentral.